RNAcentral lists this ribosomal RNA (440 nucleotides) under uncultured bacterium. RNAcentral describes it as "partial 16S ribosomal RNA". It matches the Rfam family "Bacterial small subunit ribosomal RNA", at positions 338 to 795 of the family's 1533-position model. The record is from RNAcentral.
CCUACGGGAGGCAGCAGUGGGGGAUAUUGCACAAUGGGGGAAACCCUGAUGCAGCGACGCCGCGUGGGUGAAGAAGCGCCUCGGCGCGUAAAGCCCUGUCAGCAGGGAAGAAAAUGACGGUACCUGAAGAAGAAGCCCCGGCUAACUACGUGCCAGCAGCCGCGGUAAUACGUAGGGGGCAAGGGUUAUCCGGAUUUACUGGGUGUAAAGGGGGCGCAGACGGCGAGGCAAGCAAGGAGUGAAAGCCCGGGGCCCAACCCCGGGACUGCUCUUGGAACUGCGUGGCUAGAGUGCAGGAGGGGCAGGCGGAAUUCCUGGUGUAGCGGUGAAAUGCGUAGAUAUCAGGAGGAACACCGGUGGCGAAGGCGGCCUGCUGGACUGCAACUGACGUUGAGGCCCGAAAGCGUGGGGAGCAAACAGGAUUAGAUACCCUAGUAGUC